Molecule: ribosomal RNA, 477 nt
Filed under: uncultured organism
Description: partial 16S ribosomal RNA
Rfam family: Bacterial small subunit ribosomal RNA
Source: RNAcentral
UACACUCCUGCGGGAGGCAGCAGUGGGGAAUUUUGGACAAUGGGCGAAAGCCUGAUCCAGCAAUGCCGCGUGAGUGAAGAAGGCCUUCGGGUUGUAAAGCUCUUUUGUCAGGGAAGAAACGGUGAGAGCUAAUAUCUCUUGCUAAUGACGGUACCUGAAGAAUAAGCACCGGCUAACUACGUGCCAGCAGCCGCGGUAAUACGUAGGGUGCAAGCGUUAAUCGGAAUUACUGGGCGUAAAGCGUGCGCAGGCGGUUUUGUAAGUCUGAUGUGAAAUCCCCGGGCUCAACCUGGGAAUUGCAUUGGAGACUGCAAGGCUAGAAUCUGGCAGAGGGGGGUAGAAUUCCACGUGUAGCAGUGAAAUGCGUAGAUAUGUGGAGGAACACCGAUGGCGAAGGCAGCCCCCUGGGUCAAGAUUGACGCUCAUGCACGAAAGCGUGGGGAGCAAACAGGAUUAGAAACCCUGGUAGUCCCAUGA